UUAUACGUGCUAGUUUUUGGCUGAGUGGUUUGACUCUCUAACAGUUUAAAUUCUCAAAUGGAGUCUAACAACUUUGGGACUUCCAGUAGGAUCCCUGGAACUCUCAAAGGAUGGGGCUCUAAAUUUGUUAAAGUAACAACUGUUUGAGUCAAUUCAAAUUAUGCAAAGUAUAUUAAAAUGUUGUGAAUAAUGUCAGACCUGUACUGUAUUCAUGUUCUUGCUUUCCAGCUAGAGUGGCCUUACAAAAAUGAGUAAAUUCUGUGUAUACAAGCCCUUAUAUUGUUAACUAAAGUAAGCCAAUACAGAUUGGUUCAGAGAAUUAAGUUAAUGCCAAAGCCCUUCGGUUUGCUUGGUAGCUCACUUGCUCGGUUUUAUGCUUUAAAUUUGUUUCUCUUAACGAUGAAGAUCUUUUCAAAGUUGUAAACAUGUACUAGUGUCCAUGUUUGCUGUCCAGGAGGAGUUAAUGGUGUGGUAUUCAUUAAUAACUCAGUGUCUUAUAAGAGAGACUGUUUGAGUUUGUUAGCAUGUAUUCUCAUAGAUUGUCCAUACAUGACAAUUCAAGACUAUGUAAAAGUAACUACAGGUAUAAAGUUUCAGAAGGUGUGAGCAAGUCAUGAAAGGUUUUAAAAGGUUUACAACUUUAAAAUUGUUUACAGAGUUUUCUUUAAGUUACGUGCUAAUGCCAAAAUUACAUUGACCUAAAGUUGAAGUAAAAAAUGUGCACUAAUGUUAGUAAAUAUCUGGAAAUGGUCUAAGUCAUAAAUCUUGGAAUCUGUUUUUGCAAAAACUGUAACGUCUAUUUUAACAGUGUCUGCUUAAUGGGUUACUCUGCCAUUUCUAAAGUUAGGUCCUUUUUAGCUCUGUUAAAUAGUUCUAAGUUAUGUGAGGAUUUUGUGUACUAACUCUUAUGUUCAAGGUGUUUAUUUCUGGUUUAUUCAAUAACAAAAAACAUAAAAUUCAUGUUCUGUCAAGGUAAUCUAUUGUGUACUCUACUGUCUCUGUUAAGUUCAAAUUGAUGAAAAGCAUUGCUAAAUACCUUUAUGAUUAGAUCUGGUCUAAAAGUGUUAAGAUCAUCCUGUCUAAUAAAGGGGUAUCAUUUCAGGAAUUCUAUUCUAACCAGAUACUCUAAGUUCUCUUGGCACCUUUAACAAACUUUCUAAAAAUCAAAGUUCUAAAUUCUCUAAACUUUUGGUAUCUUCAAAAGGGCCCCUGGAGAUAUCAAAAGAUAUAUCUCUCAUAUUACAGAGAUAAUAACCAAUUGGGAUGUUUAAAAGUGCUGCCAAGAUGUAAAACGAUUCAGCACUCUACUAAAAUUCCUCACAACCCACAGGAACAGGCUAUGGUGGAAAAAAAAAAAACCAUCAAUGCCUCAAAAAACAGUUAUUAAAACAAAAAGGGGGAGUGGCUACCCCCCAUCUACAGUUACAUAAGGCCUUGUUUACCAUCAAUAUUUUAGAUUUUUCGAAAGGGUCAAGGGAGGCAAGGUUCCAAAAACAUUGGGGACAUUUAACCGCUAAACCUCAGAUGCUCGUUAGAUGGAGAGACCCUCUCACCCGACUCUGGAGAGGGCCUGACCCACUGAUUCAGUUGGGAAGAGGAUUUGGCUGUGUGUUCCCCAUAGGGGAGUUGACUCCAAUUUGAAUACCGGCCAGAAAUAUCAGGCCUAUGCCCGAUGCAUGGACGCUACUCUUCACUGUGAUCCUGAAGUGCCCAGCCCAGUGACGGGGGAUUUGAUGACCCAAACGUGAUCAUCAAAACACUUCAGGAAGACCUGAAAAAGACGAAGAGAACUCCAAGAAAGCCCCUUUUGGACGAGCCUUAAUGGAUUCUUUCCCUACCUCUUCCCUCUUUUUGGACUGCUUCUCACCCUGCUUUUAAUCCUUGCUAUUGGCCCAUGCAUAAUGAAUAGCCUUAUACAGUUUAUACAACAGCACAUAGAGGCAACAAGGGUAAGACAGGUUGAGGUUCAUUACUAGAGGCUGCCAGCCACAGAGGGCUACGAUCCCCUGAACUGGAGAAGUGUCCCCGGUGCUCUCCACAUUGCCAACGACGGGUAAGAUUCCGGAUGGACCGGAACAACCUAAGACAGGCGGUGGAGAAAGCUCACCACGCUCCCAUAAUAACAAGUCACGCGACACCCCAAGACGGGUAAAGCACCCAGCAUCCUGUACCAACCUAAGACAGGGCUCAUGGCCAAGCUGCCUGGGUUACCAAUGACGGGUAAGGGCAAGGACGGCUGGGGGCAACCUAAGACAGGGACCGCGUGCUAAAACAAAAAAGGGGGAAUAUGUGGGGAAAUUAGUUACAUGAUGGAGCCCAGGGGAAGUAAGGUGGGCAGAAUCCAAAGUUGUUUACCACUAAAACUGAUUGGCUGUGCAACAUCAGGGGAGGUAACAAAACUAGUAACAAGUGUAUAGACAUAUGGCUAGUCCUAUAGAAAUCCCCCCGUAAGGUGAAUUUUUAAGUGAUUGGUUGGUCCUUAGCCCUGCCCCAAUGACUCUGCAGUUUUGUGCUAUAAAAGGUUCUGUUUCUCAGGAAGUAAAUGAGUCCUUGCUAGACUUGGCUCCCCGCUGCGUCUGAUUGUCUCCGGGAUCGGGAGGCUGGGGAACGGGCGAGCGGCGCACUUACCUUUCCUCGGACCCAGUCCAUCCUGUACGGGUGGACUAAUACCCAGCAUCUGGCGCCCAACGUGGGGCUCGAGCAGUAACUUUUCGGCCGAGGCCAAGCGGUCUCUCAGGAUAUAUCCCAAGAUUUGAAAACUAGUGGGAAAAUUAUCCAGAGCAUAAAUUAAUACGGAGCUUACAAAGAGAGGACAGCAGCACAGCAAGCAGAUGGGGAGACCACAGACAGUAAAUGAGAGGAAGAGAAUCUCGCCACGGUGGAAAGACAGAUGCAGAGGGAAAAAUGAAAAUAGAUGAAUUUGCUGCCAUGGAAACCUGUAUGAGGUCACCAGGAGAGCCCUGUUGCUGUGCGGUGUACGGGAUGCGGGCUUACCUCUCUUACCUGCUAGACAAUGAUGUCCAGUUUUGAAUGGAAUGAGAUAAUGCUGUGUAGCCAAAAUGUUUCUCAAAGGUUAAGUAUCCAUUGGCUUCUGCAUAAAUAACACGGAGCAGAAAAAUGCAAAAUGCCACAGGAAAGGAAUCUUGAUCUCCACGUGCUUAAAUUCAGAGACUUCAGAAGAGUUAAACCCAAAAUUAUUAACUAUUUAGUUAUGGUGAAAUGCCAUUAAACUCCACAAGACAAAUGCAACAACCUGCAUCCUCCAUCUGUCAGCAUGCUCCCUGCGUACCUGAUUCCCCUUUCUCAGUUGCAAAUGUUGCAGUUUGCUCCUCCUUUUGUUCCAGUGAAUUUAGAGCUUUGAUAUUCGGCAUCUUGACAUUUGGCCCACUGAGAAAAUGUUCAAAACCUCAGGACAUCCACAGUCAUCACAUCAAGAGCUAUUUGUAUGGGCAGAUGCCUAAAAAUGUUGUGCUACUUGCUGUCUUAAUUAUCACAGAAAAAUCUUAAAACACAGAAGGGAACAUUACAUCCAGCUCUGGAGAGCCCUGGGUGGUCCAGCGAAGGAUUGAAUCACCUUACAAAGCUUUGAGUCACAGCCUGCUCAGCUGCUCCGGGGCUGUCAUCAAGGCUCUUUGCUCCAAAGGAGUUUAUUUCCUGACACUAGCAGGAUGGGAGUUUAGACACAAGACAAGCACAUCACCAGGAUUGAUUUCACCCAGGACCACCAAGGAAUCCACUGAACUCUGAAGAAUACUCAUGUCGCACUCAUGCCCUUUCAGUCACACUUUUGAAAUGAUCUCACGAUAAUAAUUUAAUUUCCUUAAAAAGCGAUCCCUUGCUUCCUUUUGCCUUUCACUUAUGAUUGCAUCUGGCAGAAGCAGCUUGGGUAACACAUUAUUAUGUUGCAGCCUCGUUAUUUGUCAAAAUAUAUUCAUUCUUACCCUCCCUUCACAUUAACGUUAAAUUAUGCCAUCUAGGAUGCAAGCAAAACAAAA
This is a long non-coding RNA of Lepus europaeus (European hare), 3995 nucleotides long. RefSeq lists it as uncharacterized. The record is from RefSeq and is a predicted model, not a curated record. NCBI's taxonomy places the organism in Eukaryota, Metazoa, Chordata, Mammalia, Lagomorpha, Leporidae. The transcript has 4 exons.